GACGAACGCUGGCGGCGUGCCUAAUACAUGCAAGUCGAGCGCUGACGGUUGGUACUUUUACCUACUGGAUGCGCAGCGAACGGGUGAGUAAAGUGUGGGGAAUCUUCCUCAGAGCGGGGGACAACAUUAGGAAACGAAUGGUAAUACCGCAUAAAAACUUUAAACACAAGUUUGAAGAUUGAAAGAUGCAAUGGCAUCACUUAAACAUGAUCCCGCGUUGUAUUAAGUAGGUGGUGUGGUAAAGGCCCACCAAGGCGAUGAUACAUAGCCGACCUGAGAGGGUGAACCGCCCAAAUGGGAAUGAGAACCGGCCCAAAACCCUUAGGGGGGGAGCAGUAGGGGAUCAUUGGCCAUGGGCGGCAGUCUGACCGAGCAACGACGCGUGAGUGAAGGAGGGUUUCGGGUCGUAAAACUCUGUUGGUAGGGAAGAAAGUUGGUGAGAGUGGAAAGCUCAUCAAGUGACGGUAACUACACAGAAAGGGACGGCUAACUACGUG
RNAcentral lists this ribosomal RNA (497 nucleotides) under uncultured bacterium. Its description in RNAcentral is "partial 16S ribosomal RNA". It matches the Rfam family "Bacterial small subunit ribosomal RNA", at positions 28 to 507 of the family's 1533-position model. The record is from RNAcentral.